This 1417-nucleotide ribosomal RNA is filed under the name uncultured organism. RNAcentral's name for it is "bacterial SSU rRNA". It matches the Rfam family "Bacterial small subunit ribosomal RNA". The record is from RNAcentral.
CUGGCGGCAUGGCUAAAACAUGCAAGUCGAACGCGAAAGUACCUUCGGGUGCGAGUAGAGUGGCGAACGGGCGAGUAAUGCGUUCCUAACGUGCCUCGAGGUCAGGGAUAGCCCAGGGAAACUUGGAUUAAUACCUGAUGACCCCGGCAGAUCGUAUGAUCCGCCGGGCAAAGGUCCGCCGCCUUGAGAUCGGGGAACGUCCUAUCAGCUGGUUGGUGAGGUAACGGCUCACCAAGGCCAAGACGGGUAGCGGGUGUGAGAGCACGGCCCGCCGCAUCGGGACUGAGACACUGCCCGGACUCCUACGGGAGGCUGCAGUAACGAAUAUUCCGCAAUGCGCGAAAGCGUGACGGAGCAAUGCCGCGUGCAGGAUGAAGUCCUUCGGGGUGUAAACUGCUGUCAGGGGCUAGGAAUUUUGACCAGCCCCAGAGGAAGGACCGGCUAACUUCGUGCCAGCAGCCGCGGUAAUACGAAGGGUCCAAGCGUUAAUCGGAAUCACUGGGCUUAAAGCGUGCGCAGGCGGACCCGCAAGUGCUUUGUGAAAUACCAUGGCUCAACCAUGGAAUUGCUUGGCAGACUGCGGGUCUUGAGGUCGGUAAGGGCUGUCGGAACAGUAGGUGGAGCGGUGAAAUGCGUAGAUAUCUACUGGAACGCCAAAGGUGAAGACAGGCAGCUGGGCCGAACCUGACGCUCAGGCACGAAAGCGUGGGGAGCGAACGGGAUUAGAUACCCCGGUAGUCCACGCUGUAAACGAUGUGUACUAGGUCGUGGGGGUUCUGACACCAACACGGCCGAAGCAAAAGUAUUAAGUACACCGCCUGGGGAGUACGGUCGCAAGGCUAAAACUCAAAGGAAUUGACGGGGGCUCACACAAGCGGUGGAGCAUGUGGCUUAAUUCGAAGCAACGCGAAGAACCUUAUCCAGGGUUUGACAUGCACGGAUUAGCUCCCUGAAAGGGGAGUGACGCGGUUUCCGUGGAACGUGCACAGGUGCUGCAUGGCUGUCGUCAGCUCGUGCUGUGAAGUGUCGGGUUAAGUCCCUUAACGAGCGAAACCCCUGCCGUUAGUUGCUAACGCGUUAUGGCGAGGACUCUAACGGGACUGCCGGUGUCAAACCGGAGGAAGGUGGGGAUGACGUCAAGUCCGCAUGGCCUUUAUAUCCAGGGCUACACACACGCUACAAUGGCCAGUACAAUAGGUAGCCAAGUCGUGAGACGGAGCCAAUCCUUAAAGCUGGUCUCAGUUCGAAUUGCAGUCUGCAACUCGACUGCAUGAAGCUGGAGUUGCUAGUAAUCGCAGGUCAGCCAUACUGCGGUGAUACGUUCCCGGGCCUUGUACACACCGCCCGUCACGUCAUGGAAGCUGGCAACGCCUGAAGCCGGUGAGCUAACCCGAAAGGGGGCAGCCGUCGAGGGUGG